AGUGAACGCUGGCGGUAGGCCUAACACAUGCAAGUCGAACGGCAGCACAGUAAGAGCUUGCUCUUACGGGUGGCGAGUGGCGGACGGGUGAGGAAUACAUCGGAAUCUACUUUUUCGUGGGGGAUAACGUAGGGAAACUUACGCUAAUACCGCAUACGACCUACGGGUGAAAGCAGGGGAUCUUCGGACCUUGCGCGAUUGAAUGAGCCGAUGUCGGAUUAGCUAGUUGGCGGGGUAAAGGCCCACCAAGGCGACGAUCCGUAGCUGGUCUGAGAGGAUGAUCGGCCACACUGGAACUGAGACAGGGUCCAGACUCCUACGGGAGGCAGCAGUGGGGAAUAUUGGACAAUGGGCGCAAGCCUGAUCCAGCCAUACCGCGUGGGUGAAGAAGGCCUUCGGGUUGUAAAGCCCUUUUGUUGGGAAAGAAAAGCAGCAGGUUAAUACCCCGCUGUUCUGACGGUACCCAAAGAAUAAGCACCGGCUAACUUCGUG
This 492-nucleotide ribosomal RNA is filed under the name uncultured bacterium. RNAcentral describes it as "partial 16S ribosomal RNA". It matches the Rfam family "Bacterial small subunit ribosomal RNA", at positions 29 to 507 of the family's 1533-position model. The record is from RNAcentral.